AAGGGAGAAUAUCCCCAGCCCCAUUUCAAGCUGUCAUCAUGAGCAGUAGUGGAGGAGUAGAUUUGCCAAACGGCUGUCAGAGCUGACACCAGGCAGUGUCAGCAGCGGGGCCCAAGCUACCUUUGGUGGAGUGACUUUGCUCUUGCUCAACUCCUGGGUUCCCUCCUACUGUUCUGAACCAAUGACGCAGAUGGCAAGCUCUAGGAAACAGAUCAGUGAACUGAGGCCCAAAGAAGCAAAGAAACUUACCGAGGGUCACACAAAUCAACAAGAGGAGCUGGGAUUUGCACACGUUUUCUUAGGGCCAUAAAGUUGCCUACCUAGAAGUCGAGCUAGCAUGCUGAGGGUGACAGCAAAAACUGGUGGAAAGAAUGUGAGUUGGCCAUGCUGGUUUGCACACCAAAUUAAUCCCCUUGGAAACCCUCCAUCAUACAUCCCACGUCAGGUAAGACAUAGAACAUGGUGGUACUUACUGUUGAAGCCAUUGGGGUUAGAUUUUCUGUUAUUGGCAGCCAAGAAAUCCUGACAAAUAGAGGCAUAAUUUGGGAACAUUGAGAGAUCAUAGGACCAGAGUUUGGUUCUUCCUAAGGGUUGUUGAUAAUAGGAGAGGAAGAAUAUGACUUGUAUUGAUGUGCAGUUUUGGAAGAUCAUGCCCAUAUUAACAGAAAAAUCCUUAAAGGAGGGAAGUCCUUCCUGUUUCCGUGGCUUGUAUGAGUAUCUUCUGAGGACUCCACUCCUCAAAUGCGGGCAUGCUUACCCUGGGGGACU
This is a long non-coding RNA of Sapajus apella (tufted capuchin), 768 nucleotides long. RefSeq lists it as uncharacterized. The record is from RefSeq and is a predicted model, not a curated record. The transcript has 3 exons. Lineage: Eukaryota; Metazoa; Chordata; Mammalia; Primates; Cebidae.